This 4218-nucleotide long non-coding RNA is filed under the name Bemisia tabaci. RNAcentral's name for it is "lncRNA ENSSWEETPG004545". The record is from RNAcentral. Lineage: Eukaryota; Metazoa; Arthropoda; Insecta; Hemiptera; Aleyrodidae.
AUGUUGCUACGAACAGCAGAGCAAGUUCGAGAAAGCGCUCGAGCCCGAGUCAGGCUUAUGAGUGAUUCGCAGUUGGGCCUGAGCCCCGAGGAGAAACUCAAUGCCUUGCGGCAAAAAUUUGCAGCUCGGAAAAUGGCGCAAAGCGAAUCCAAAGGAAGUCUCGCAGCCAGAACGUUGUUCACUGAUGAGCCCAAGUCAAAUCCUACCUCUAUCAACUAUGAUUUCCUCGAAAACGAUAAUAAGGUGAUGGAUGGCAAAGAUCUGAAGCACCGGAAAGAUCGUGAAAGAAGGAAAAGCAUCAUUCAGGCUGUGUCGGAUUUCUUCCACAAGAAGUCUCCUUCUCCCUCACCUUCAAAAACUUCUGAUAAAGUCCCAAAACCAAUCGAUAAGCAAUAAAUUCAUGAAGCUGCGCCUUCACACCCUCAGUCGCGAAAAAUCCAAAGUAAGCACUUUCUUUUAUUCUCUCAAUCCUUCAUAUUCAUGGUUCAUUUUAGAUAGGGAGAGUUUGCUUGGCAUACAAAUACAAAGAAAAAAAAUUACCGUAUUUUUAAACAUAGAAGAAUAACAAAAUCAGUCUUCAGGGGGGCUGAUUAUGGAAAUUGAUAGACAAAGCAAUAGACCGUGAAGAGGAGGGGAAAAUGGGAAGCGAUGGACGAUGAAGAGGACGGGGAAAUCGAGCGAUUCUGUUGAUUGAAAUAGGUGGUUGUUUUAGAGUAGGGGAAAUGGUGGUCCAACAAGAACGUCUCUUGUAGGCUGUUGUUAGUUAGUCUAUUAUUACCAUCUUUGUCCAUUGGAACCACCCACUUCCACCAACAGGACCGCUUCAUUUCUUCUUUGUCUUAAUGGUCGAUCAAUUUCAAUAAUCAGCCUGAAGCAAUAACACUUACAAUUAUAAAUUGAAUGAGAAUCAAAUUAAAAACUAGCUUAUCUUUGUUUGAACUUUUAGCUCAGUGUUGAGCAAAGUGGUGGAUCUUCCUCUAGUAUUUUGAAAAAACAGGAAAAGAAUAAUCAGAGGCAUGACAGUGUGAUGUCCGUGGCCAAAAAAAAGCAUAGGCAAGAGAGGAGGGGCUUGAUUGUACUGCAAUGUUUCUGAGUCCACUGUUAGAAUUUUUUUUUUUUUUUUCCAGUUACAGAUGUAUGAUUUGCAUUAAUAUUUUCAGGAACUCUUCCCUUAAUCACAAGGAAGAUUCGUAAAAAGAUGCAAUAGAAAAUUAAGAAAAUUUGCAACUUUUCAUAAGUGAAGAAAAUAAAUUGUCCCAUGAAAUUUUGCAACAUUGCAGUCUAAUUAAGCCUAUUUAUCUCUCAAAUCAGUUUUAGGCUCUUUUUACGGCACAAAGUGAACUAAGUCGUAUGUAAAUUGUCUUCCUUGAUUAAAAUGAAAAAAAAUAAAAACCAAAACUUAAGAAAGCAAUCCAGACAUUGUAAUUUUAACAUACUCUGUUCCCUAGUAGCUUAAUUAAGAAGCAAAAUUCAUUUUUUUUUUGUUUGCAGUCAGCUGAAAUUUAAAUUCGGAAAAGAGAGUAAGCCAAUUUUUUAUUACGUGCCUGUAGAGAGUAACGUAGACAGUGUUUUUAAACUUAUCCUCUUAUUUUUUCCCUCCUUUUUUACCUGUUUAGUAUUCUUUGUGCUACACCUGACAUGUUCCUUAUACCGGUUUAUAUUCUGAUAAGGUUGUUGAUCGUUCUUAUGUGUACUGAAAUCACUUUCAUAUUAUCUAUAGAUUAUCAUAAUUUUUCGCCAAUUUUUUUUUUUUAUUGGUUGUAUUUUUCUCUUCAAUUUUUAAUAAUCUUUUUUUAAAACAAAUUUUCUGUCAAUCAAAGCGAGAAGUUUACAGAUGAUAUUCCACUACUCUGGUACUUCCUUGACUUAUUUACCAUCCUCUCCUUUCUAAUUUGGACAGUGUGCCUUCAAUUUCUUGUCUCUUUCUAGUAAAAACAGUUUGUUCAUUUUUUAUAGACAUUUGAUCCAGACAGAGUUUGUGUUUUUGCCAUGGCAAUAAAUUGAGUAUAGAACUGAUUUUAUUUAAUCUAAAUUCGGUAACUUGACUUCAAAACCCUUACAUAGUCACCUCUGGCCAAAGUAUCAAAACUCAAAAGUGCCGUUUACGCUUAGACAUAUGUCGCCGGCAUCCGGUAUUGUGUUAAUUUUUCCUUCAAAACUUUUGCUGAUUUUUUCAUAAGAAUUUCAAGGAUCAGUCUUGAUGACAAAAGAAAUAUAAAGUAACAUCUUCAAGUGACUCUGUUCAUUAGUUUUCCUUUAAAAUUGGAUAAGUUUGAGAAUUCUGGCAACUCACUACCUAGAUACAAGUGUCUUGUGUGAUACUUUGGCGUGAAGAUGGCGAUAUCUGUUUUCAUUUUUCCCAGUUAUAUUUGUGAUUAGUUGCAUUUUUUAUUUUUAUUUAUUUGAGACUAUGUUGGUAUCAAUUCAUCGUGUCUGCAUGUAUGAUCGUGAAGCAUGAUAGUUUCAGUUUUCUUCCAGUAUGAUUUCAGAUAUUCUAAUUAUCCGAAUCUAUUCGGUCUGAAAAAUUAUUGAUUUGAAAGCGUUUAAGGAUUGAAUCUCACUUUCGUGGAAGGGUCUCUCAGCUCCAGUGAAAUACUUAUAUUGGAUACCAUAAAUGUUUGAAUUGUAAGAUGCGCAAUAGAUCAUGACUAGAAAACUUGUUUAGUUUUGAUAUGUUUUCGUCAGAGACCUCCAAAGAAUCUAAUGACAAAAUUGAUGUGUCAUGGAGAAUGGAUCAAUUCUGAUUCCAGUUCAGAGGUCAGUACUGUUGAUCAACACCAAUUUUUUCGCUCUUCUGACGUCGGGUGUAUCUCGUUUUCCACAUAAGCCUGGAAAACGCAUGGAGCUAUGUGAAGAACAGGGCUCACAAGAAAUAGAGAUACGCCGCUACAUCAGAGGAGCGAUGAUUAUGGUUGCAAAAUUGAUCAGGUGAUCGAGGAAAAAUACCGAACAAAUUCAAAAAUAGGUGUAGAUCCUGUCUUCCCAAUAAAAUUUUUUCAAUGCUAGAUCGUCUAUUCAAUGCAGUUUCUGGCCCAUUGGCCAAGCGAAUUCCUCCUCAUUAAAAAAUGACACCUGGAUUUAUUUAAACUUUCGUCAGCAGGGUGUCCACAAGUCCGAAAAAUAGUACUGAUUUUUUAAGGGUGGUCCGAAAGUACUGAAAAAGUGUGGAAAUUCUGCAAAAAGGUCCGGAAUUGGUUUACUUUUUUGUCAUUUUGUUGCAUUUUCAAAUUUUGAAAUUUUUUUGAUUUCGUCAAAUGGAGAUGGUACUGAAAAAGUUCGAAUUUUUCUAUUGGAGGAGGGUACUGAAUUUCUCGAGUAUGUACUGAAAAAGUACUGUUUAAGUACUUAUUUUGACAAGCCUGUUUUAGUAGACACUCUGGUCGGGAAAUAUUCCAUUCCGUUUCGUCCUCGUCUAUUGGAUUCAACUCUCGGGCUUUUUGUUCCAUUGUUUAAAGUUUCUCUUCAACCGUAUCUUUUUAAUUUUUCAGGAUAAGUUUUCUCCUCCGAGUGAACUAGAACGAAGCAAAAGCGUAAGCGAAUCAGAAAUGAGACGAAGACUGAUAGACGGCCUAGCUCCGCCUGUUCCUCCUCUACCUCUUAACUACUCCCUUCAACCACUUAACACUACCAACCGUCCAUCUGGUGAGAAUAUUUCUGCAUUUACCUAACUAUUUGAUAUGCAAGCUGAUCAUUGAGUUAAUAGACAAAGGAAACACAGGAAAAUGAAGCGAUCCUAUUCUGCCGUGCUAAGGAAGAAUGCUGUAUGAGCGUUUAGGCAUAGCCAUAUUUCCUCAAUAAAAGACGAAUCCACUGGAAAAAUUAUGAAUAUUUCUCCUCCAAUUUUUCAGACAAUUUUGUUCUCAAUUUAAUUUUAAAUAUCUGAGAAUGUCAAGGGAAAAUAUGCAUAACUUUCUCCACAAUGAGAAAAAAAACUAAGAAAUGGCCCGAAUACUGUAUGUAACAAGGUGGAGAAGGGGUGCUGGGUCCACACCAUUUAGCAGGGAAAAAAGGCAAGAAGUUCCAAAAAUCGAAAUUCGAGUCAAAAUUAAAAUCUUUUUAACUCUAAUGAGUACCAGUACACAACUAAGGAAGGGGGGAGAGUUCUCCACAAAUACAUGCUUUAUUCGGGGAAAUUUGGCAACCCUCGAAUGUCCAUACAGCGUUCUUCCUUAGCACGAAAGUAUUGGUGGAAGUGGGUGGUUGCGAUGCGGACAAAUG